UCCUACGGGAGGCAGCAGUAGGGAAUCUUCCGCAAUGGACGAAAGUCUGACGGAGCAACGCCGCGUGAGUGAUGAAGGCUUUCGGGUCGUAAAACUCUGUUGUUAGGGAAGAACAAGUGCUAGUUGAAUAAGCUGGCACCUUGACGGUACCUAACCAGAAAGCCACGGCUAACUACGUGCCAGCAGCCGCGGUAAUACGUAGGUGGCAAGCGUUAUCCGGAAUUAUUGGGCGUAAAGCGCGCGCAGGUGGUUUCUUAAGUCUGAUGUGAAAGCCCACGGCUCAACCGUGGAGGGUCAUUGGAAACUGGGAGACUUGAGUGCGGAAGAGGAAAGUGGAAUUCCAUGUGUAGCGGUGAAAUGCGUAGAGAUAUGGAGGAACACCAGUGGCGAAGGCGACUUUCAGGUCUGUAACUGACACUGAGGCGCGAAAGCGUGGGGAGCAAACAGGAUUAGAUACCCUGGUAGUCCACGCCGUAAACGAUGAGUGCUAAGUGUUAGAGGGUUUCCGCCCUUUAGUGCUGAAGUUAACGCAUUAAGCACUCCGCCUGGGGAGUACGGCCGCAAGGCUGAAACUCAAAUGAAUUGACGGA
This 590-nucleotide ribosomal RNA is filed under the name uncultured bacterium. RNAcentral's name for it is "bacterial SSU rRNA". It matches the Rfam family "Bacterial small subunit ribosomal RNA", at positions 337 to 917 of the family's 1533-position model. The record is from RNAcentral.